RNAcentral lists this long non-coding RNA (1041 nucleotides) under Suricata suricatta (meerkat). Its description in RNAcentral is "lncRNA (ENSSSUG00005008130.1)". Lineage: Eukaryota; Metazoa; Chordata; Mammalia; Carnivora; Herpestidae. The record is from RNAcentral.
ACACCCCAAGUCUGGAAUUGAGGCUCGAGUCUGAGUUUUGCCUUUUCCACUUUUUAGCUAUAGAACUUUGAACAGAUCACAAAUUUUCUGAGACAGUUUCCUUCUUUGUAAACUGCGGAUAAUAACAUGCAGAAACACUAGGUAACUGAUGUUCUAUAAAGCGUUAAGUGACGUUACCACAUGUAGAGUCUGGAACACAGAAGACAAGUCCAAAGAGCCUGACGAAGGAAUCCACGACUUUUCCAUUGAAAUUAUAAGAAUGAUCUUUCAAGUGGAAAUUGUACCGGGAACUAAGGUUCUGGCCAAAAGUUUUGAGAUGGACUCACAGGAAAAGCUUACGGAGAUGUUCUGGCAGGGCGGAAACCCACACGGAGCGGACUCUUCUUCCAGGUGCAGAUGUACAGGACCUUGGAGGGAGUGUCCGAAGACCUGAGUUUGACCUGCAUUCUGCUUUUACUCACAAUAUAGCCUUGACCAAAUCAUACAAUCUCUUCAAGCCUUGGUUUCCUCAUUUAUAAAAUGGGGGUUCCAAUAGCUGCCUUACCCAAAGAAAAAGAUGUGUUAAUUGUAAGGCAUCAAAUGAAUUUUUGUUAGGAAGCAAUGCUUUCUAAUUUAGGAAUGAGGAAAUCUCAGAUCAUUCAGUUAAAUCCAUGGGAGAGCUGGAUAAAUUAGAGACUAGCUAAUGCCAAGUCUUGUGCCUUAGUUCCUUUUCCUUCCUUCUUUUUGAUUCUGUAACUGACACUUCGGCUUCUGUAUACUAUGGCUUCCACGCUAAGGAUGAAAAUAUUGAGGGGCGCCUGGGUGGCUCAGUUGGUUAAGCGUCCAGCUUUGGCUCAGGUCAUGAUCUCACGGUUUGUGGGUUCGAGCCCCGCAUCAGGCUCUGUGCUGACAGCUAGCUCAGAGCUCAGAGCCCGGAGCCUGCUUUGGAUUCUGUGUCUCCCCUCUCUCUCUGACCCUCCCCUGCUCAUGCUAUCCCUCUCUCUGUCUCUCAAAAAUAAAUAAAAAACAUUUAAAAAAAUUUUUAAAGAAAAUAUUGAUAUU